UACGUAAGGGGGCUAGCGUUGCUCGGAAUCACUGGGCGUAAAGGGUGCGUAGGCGGGUCUUAAGUCAGGGGUGAAAUCCUGGAGCUCAACUCCAGAACUGCCUUUGAUACUGAGGAUCUUGAGUUCGGGAGAGGUGAGUGGAACUGCGAGUGUAGAGGUGAAAUUCGUAGAUAUUCGCAAGAACACCAGUGGCGAAGGCGGCUCACUGGCCCGAUACUGACGCUGAGGCACGAAAGCGUGGGGAGCAAACAGGGAUUAAGAAACC
Molecule: ribosomal RNA, 265 nt
Filed under: uncultured bacterium
Lineage: Bacteria
Description: partial 16S ribosomal RNA
Rfam family: Bacterial small subunit ribosomal RNA
Source: RNAcentral